RNAcentral lists this ribosomal RNA (210 nucleotides) under uncultured bacterium. RNAcentral describes it as "partial 16S ribosomal RNA". It matches the Rfam family "Bacterial small subunit ribosomal RNA", at positions 1290 to 1500 of the family's 1533-position model. The record is from RNAcentral.
AGUUCGGAUCGCAGGCUGCAACCCGCCUGCGUGAAGUUGGAAUCGCUAGUAAUCGCGGAUCAGCAUGCCGCGGUGAAUACGUUCCCGGGCCUUGUACACACCGCCCGUCACACCAUGAGAGUCGGGAACACCCGAAGUCCGUAGCCUAACCGCAAGGGGGCGCGGCCGAAGGUGGGUUCGAUAAUUGGGGUGAAGUCGUAACAAGGUAUC